GUUGGUUUACCUAUUUGAUAUAUAGUCAUUCUACCAUCACUAUAUGGUAUCUACUAUAGUAUCUCUUCCUCGUCAAUUGUUGUAUGUUGUAUUUUUUUGUCACAGCCUAUUUACAAUUGUGGACCCCAAUGGGGAUCUCUCCUCAGGAGAUCUUCCCCGUUUUCUUUUCUUUUCCCAUACAAUUAUCCCUUUUUAACCUAAUUAUGUCCCAG
Molecule: non-coding RNA, 212 nt
Organism: Pelobates cultripes (western spadefoot toad)
Lineage: Eukaryota; Metazoa; Chordata; Amphibia; Anura; Pelobatidae
Source: the annotation of a GenBank genome assembly